RNAcentral lists this ribosomal RNA (371 nucleotides) under uncultured bacterium. RNAcentral's name for it is "bacterial SSU rRNA". It matches the Rfam family "Bacterial small subunit ribosomal RNA", at positions 525 to 896 of the family's 1533-position model. The record is from RNAcentral.
ACGAAGGGGGCUAGCGUUGUUCGGAAUUACUGGGCGUAAAGCGUGCGCAGGCGGUCUCUCAAGUCAGGGGUGAAAGCCCAGAGCUCAACUCUGGAACUGCCCUUGAAACUGUGAGGCUCGAGUACGGGAGAGGUGAGUGGAAUUCCCAGUGUAGAGGUGAAAUUCGUAGAUAUUGGGAAGAACACCGGUGGCGAAGGCGGCUCACUGGCCCGUUUCUGACGCUCAUGCACGAUAGCGUGGGGAUCAAACAGGAUUAGAUACCCUGGUAGUCCACGCCGUAAACUAUGGACGCUAGCCGUUGGGUAGCUUGCUAUUCAGUGGCGCAGCUAACGCAUUAAGCGUCCCGCCUGGGGAGUACGGCCGCAAGGUUG